RNAcentral lists this ribosomal RNA (433 nucleotides) under uncultured bacterium. Its description in RNAcentral is "partial 16S ribosomal RNA". It matches the Rfam family "Bacterial small subunit ribosomal RNA", at positions 29 to 507 of the family's 1533-position model. The record is from RNAcentral.
AACGAACGCUGGCGGCAUGCCUAACACAUGCAAGUCGAACGAGACCUUCGGGUCUAGUGGCGCACGGGUGCGUAACGCAUGGGAACCUGCCCUUAGGUUCGGAAUAACUCCCCGAAAGGGGUGCUAAUACCGGAUAAUGUCUUCGGACCAAAGAUUUAUCGCCUUUGGAUGGGCCCGCGUUGGAUUAGCUAGUUGGUAGGGUAAAAGCCUACCAAGGCGACGAUCCAUAGCUGGUCUGAGAGGAUGAUCAGCCACACUGGGACUGAGACACGGCCCAGACUCCUACGGGAGGCAGCAGUGGGGAAUAUUGGACAAGGGGCGAAAGCCUGAUCCAGCAAUGCCGCGUGAGUGAUGAAGGCCUUAGGGUUGUAAAGCUCUGUUACCCGGGAUGAUAAUGACAGUACCGGGAGAAUAAGCGCCGGCUAACUCCGUG